AAUCAGGGUGGGUUUUUUGUUUGAGAUUGAUUUUUCAAAUGAUCUUAAACAUCAAACUACCUUUUCACUGUUUGUUUUUUUUACAUUUUUAUAGCACAGUAUACAGCAGGAGGAACUGAUCUGAAAUUGUUAAUUUAAGGAUAUAGUGACUUCUCAUGAUUUGUUUCUUAUUCUCACUUUCAUAGUAUAGUUUAUGCCAGAAUUGACUCAUCAACCUGGGUGCUUAUCAUUUGCAAUUGCUUUUAGAAAGACACUUUAUGUACUACUUCUCAUUUUUUGUUUCUUUUUUACUCUCAUAGUACAGUUAGUAACAGGAAUGACUGAUCAGAAUGAGUUUUUAUCAAUUGAGUUUCAUAGCAUAGUUCUUACCAAAAGUGACUUAUAAGACCGAGUUCUUUUCAUUUGAAUAUUGUUUAAAACACCAGAAGAGACUCAUCAGACUGAGUGCUUAUCAUUUGUAAUUGGUUUUAAAAGGCUUUAUGUGGUACUUCUCAUUUUUUGUUUUACUUACAAAGUAUAGUUUGUACCAAAAGUGAUUGAUAAAACUGAGUUCUUAUCAUUUGAGUGUAGUUUUAAAAUGUUUUAUGUACUACACACUUUU
Amphimedon queenslandica is the source of this 601-nucleotide long non-coding RNA. RefSeq lists it as uncharacterized. The transcript has 3 exons. Lineage: Eukaryota; Metazoa; Porifera; Demospongiae; Haplosclerida; Niphatidae. The record is from RefSeq and is a predicted model, not a curated record.